GACGAACGCUGGCGGCGUGCCUAACACAUGCAAGUCGAACGGAGUUACCCUUCGGGGUAGCUUAGUGGCGAACGGGUGAGUAACGCGUGAAGAACCUGCCUUUCAGUGGGGGACAACAGUUGGAAACGACUGCUAAUACCGCAUAAUGUCAUUUGGGGGCAUCCCCGAAUGACCAAAGAUUUAUUGCUGAAAGAUGGCUUCGCGUCUGAUUAGCUAGUUGGUGAGGUAACGGCUCACCAAGGCGACGAUCAGUAGCCGGUCUGAGAGGAUGAACGGCCACAUUGGGACUGAGAUACGGCCCAG
This 303-nucleotide ribosomal RNA is filed under the name uncultured bacterium. RNAcentral describes it as "bacterial SSU rRNA". It matches the Rfam family "Bacterial small subunit ribosomal RNA", at positions 28 to 334 of the family's 1533-position model. The record is from RNAcentral.